UUAGAGUUUGAUCCUGGCUCAGGAUGAACGCUUUGCGGGAGGCUUAACACAUGCAAGUCGAGGGGCAGCACGAGAUAGCAAUAUUUUGGUGGCGACCGGCGCACGGGUGAGUAACACGUAUGCAACCUACCCUGUACAGGGGGAUAACCCGGAGAAAUUCGGACUAAUACCCCAUAAAGAUAUGAAGAGGCAUCUUUUUAUAUUUAAAGUUACGACGGUACGGGAUGGGCAUGCGCAACAUUAGCUGGUUGGUAGGGUAACGGCCUACCAAGGCUACGAUGUUUAGGGGACCUGAGAGGGUGAUCCCCCACACUGGUACUGAGACACGGACCAGACUCCUACGGGAGGCAGCAGUGAGGAAUAUUGGUCAAUGGGCGCAAGCCUGAACCAGCCAUCCCGCGUGCAGGAAGAAGGCGCUAUGCGUUGUAAACUGCUUUUCCAGGGGAAGAAAAUUUCGCACGAGUGCGGAACUGCCGGUACCCUGGGAAUAAGCAUCGGCUAACUCCGUGCCAGCAGCCGCGGUAAUACGGAGGAUGCGAGCGUUAUCCGGAUUUAUUGGGUUUAAAGGGUGCGUAGGCGGAUUAAUAAGUCAGUGGUGAAAACCUUCAGCUUAACUGGAGACUUGCCAUUGAUACUGUUAGUCUUGAGUACGGUCAAGGUAGGCGGAAUGUGUAAUGUAGCGGUGAAAUGCUUAGAUAUUACACAGAACACCGAUUGCGAAGGCAGCUUACUGGGCCAUUACUGACGCUGAUGCACGAAAGCGUGGGGAGCGAACAGGAUUAGAUACCCUGGUAGUCCACGCCGUAAACGAUGAUCACUCGCUGUUGGCGAUACACAGUCAGCGGCUAAGCAAAAGCAUUAAGUGAUCCACCUGGGGAGUACGGCCGCAAGGCUGAAACUCAAAGGAAUUG
This 911-nucleotide ribosomal RNA is filed under the name uncultured bacterium. Its description in RNAcentral is "bacterial SSU rRNA". It matches the Rfam family "Bacterial small subunit ribosomal RNA", at positions 1 to 912 of the family's 1533-position model. The record is from RNAcentral.